GUGCCCUUUUAAGGUUGACACAGUGCCUUAAGAGGCUAAAACAGAAGGGUAAAGGAAGCCUCCAUAAAACCCAGAGAAGAGCCUGAAAC
Molecule: small nucleolar RNA, 89 nt
Filed under: Octodon degus (degu)
Lineage: Eukaryota; Metazoa; Chordata; Mammalia; Rodentia; Octodontidae
Description: Small nucleolar RNA SNORA26 (ENSODEG00000021455.1)
Rfam family: Small nucleolar RNA SNORA26
About the family: The snoRNA HBI-6 belong to the H/ACA family of snoRNAs, guiding the pseudouridylation of position U4522 if the 28S rRNA. HBI-6 is the human orthologue of mouse MBI-6 snoRNA.
Source: Rfam by way of RNAcentral